GUGAGGAAUAUUGGUCAAUGGACGCAAGUCUGAACCAGCCAUGCCGCGUGCAGGAAGACGGCUCUAUGAGUUGUAAACUGCUUUUGUACGAGGGUAAACGCAGAUACGUGUAUCUGUCUGAAAGUAUCGUACGAAUAAGGAUCGGCUAACUCCGUGCCAGCAGCCGCGGUAAUACGGAGGAUUCAAGCGUUAUCCGGAUUUAUUGGGUUUAAAGGGUGCGUAGGCGGUUGGAUAAGUUAGAGGUGAAAUCCCGGGGCUCAACUCCGGAAUUGCCUCUGAUACUGUUCGGCUAGAGAUCAGUUGCGGUAGGCGGAAUGUAUGGUGUAGCGGUGAAAUGCUUAGAGAUCAUACAGAACACCGAUUGCGAAGGCAGCUUACCAAGCUGAAUCUGACGUUGAGGCACGAAAGCGUGGGUAGCAAACAGG
RNAcentral lists this ribosomal RNA (425 nucleotides) under uncultured Alistipes sp. RNAcentral describes it as "bacterial SSU rRNA". It matches the Rfam family "Bacterial small subunit ribosomal RNA", at positions 354 to 776 of the family's 1533-position model. The record is from RNAcentral. Lineage: Bacteria; Pseudomonadati; Bacteroidota; Bacteroidia; Bacteroidales; Rikenellaceae.